This 451-nucleotide ribosomal RNA is filed under the name uncultured bacterium. RNAcentral's name for it is "SSU rRNA". It matches the Rfam family "Bacterial small subunit ribosomal RNA", at positions 26 to 518 of the family's 1533-position model. The record is from RNAcentral.
AGGAUGAACGCUGGCGGUAUGCUUUACACAUGCAAGUCGUACGGGAGUUUUUAACUCAAGUGGCGGACGGGUGAGUAACACGUAAGAAUUUGCCUUUAGGAGGGGGACAACAACUGGAAACGGUUGCUAAUACCCCAUAUGCUUUCUAGUGAAAUGGAUUUAUCCGCCUAAAGAGAAGCUUGCGGCUGAUUAGCUUGUUGGUAAGGUAAUGGCUUACCAAGGCGACGAUCAGUAUCUGGUUUGAGAGGACGAUCAGACACACUGGAACUGAGACACGGUCCAGACUCCUACGGGAGGCAGCAGUGGGGAAUUUUCCGCAAUGGGCGAAAGCCUGACGGAGCAAUACCGCGUGAGGGAUGACGGCCUAUGGGUUGUAAACCUCUUUUUCAGGGAGGAAUCAAUGACGUGUACCUGAAGAAUAAGCAUCGGCUAACUCCGCGCCAGCAGCCGC